CGACUCCCCUAUCUGCUCCCCAAAUCCUGCUGCGAUCGCCGGACUCAACUUCGCCGGCUAGAUUCCGGUGAGAUGGAAUCCCACGCCACCGGCGCCGGCCGCGUCCUGGUCCUCGCCUUCUGCGUCGCCGGGAUCUGGUCCGCCUACAUCACCCAAGGCGUCCUCCAAGAAACAGUAUCCACCAAGCAAUUCGGCCCGGACGGCAAGCGAUUUGAGCACCUCUCGUUUCUCAAUCUCGCGCAGAACGUCGUCUGCUUCGUCUGGUCACUCAUUAUGAUUAAGAUUUGGUCGUCGAGCUCGGGCGGCGGCGGCGGUGCCCCGUGGUGGAGUUACUGGAGCGCGAGUAUUACGAAUACAAUUGGCCCUGCGAUGGGGAUCGAGGCGUUGAAGUAUAUCAGUUAUCCUGCUCAGGUUUUGGCCAAAUCCUCAAAGAUGAUUCCUGUUAUGCUCAUGGGAACGAUUAUCUACGGUAUCAAAUAUACGAUACCUGAAUACAUCUGCACGUUUCUUGUGGCUGGAGGUGUAUCAGCAUUUGCGCUUUCAAAGACCAGCUCAAAG
This 558-nucleotide unclassified non-coding RNA is filed under the name Hevea brasiliensis (rubber tree). The record is from RNAcentral. Lineage: Eukaryota; Viridiplantae; Streptophyta; Magnoliopsida; Malpighiales; Euphorbiaceae.